GACGAACGCUGGCGGCGUGCUUAACACAUGCAAGUCGAACGAUGAAGAAGAGAAACGCGAACUUCGGUUCAAAUUUCACUUCGGAUUAGUGGCAGACGGGUGAGUAACGCGUGAGCAACCUACCUCUUACAAAGGGAUAGCCUCGGGAAACCGUGAUUAAUACCAUAUGACACAUUCAUAAGGCAUCUUAAGAAUGUUAGAGCUACGGCGGUAAGAGAUGGGCUCGCGUCCCAUUAGCUAGUUGGUGAGGUAACGGCCCACCAAGGCGACGAUGGGUAACCGGGCUGGGAGGGGGAACCGUUACCAUUGAACGUGGACCCGGUCCCAACUCCCACGGGAGGGCGGAGUGGGGAAUAUUGCACAAUGGAGGGAAAUCUGAUGCCGCGACGCCGGGUGAGCGAUGAAGGAAUUCGUUUCCUAAAGCUCUGUUUUAUGGGAAGAAAAGGACUGUACCAUAGGAGAAAGCCCCGGCUAAAUACGUG
RNAcentral lists this ribosomal RNA (482 nucleotides) under uncultured bacterium. RNAcentral describes it as "partial 16S ribosomal RNA". It matches the Rfam family "Bacterial small subunit ribosomal RNA", at positions 28 to 507 of the family's 1533-position model. The record is from RNAcentral.